This 5111-nucleotide long non-coding RNA is filed under the name Sus scrofa (pig). RNAcentral describes it as "lncRNA (ENSSSCG00050037918.1)". Lineage: Eukaryota; Metazoa; Chordata; Mammalia; Artiodactyla; Suidae. The record is from RNAcentral.
GCCGCUCCCUCAGCAUAUGGAGGUUCCCAGGCUAGGGGUCUAAUCAGAGCUACAGCUGCUGGCCUGAGACACAGCCACAGCAACGUGGGAUCCGAGCUGCGUUUGCAACCUACACCACAGCUCACGGCAACGCUGGAUCCUCAACCCACUGAGCAAGGCCAGGGAUCAAACCUACAACCUAGGACUUGCAAUCCUAGUCAGAUUCAUUAGCCACUGCACCACGACGGGAACUCCUCUAAAUAUUUUUUUUUUUUAGGACUGUGCUCUUCUGAUUAUAGAUGAUGCUGUAGACAUGGGACUCACGAGGACACCACAGAUACAGGUAGAUUGGAUCAUAAAUUUCAGCGCACCAUAGAUUAUACCAUUUUGUAAUGACAAAAAAAUUAUUUGUAAAAUGAAGACAAGUUAAAUUUAAACACAUACUUUUCUAUUUCAGGAGCACGAGUCAUCAAUGUUUAAGUGUUAAGUCAGAAAGACAAACCAGAGCGGGGACAUAAGACGAAUGCAGAACCGAAUCUCAAUCCGACACGCGUGCCCCCGAGACUUCACACCUGCGCCACAUGGAGGACAUAUGUGGCCCUAAGGUUUCCAGCAGCCCGUGGCAAAAAGGGCUGCCCGAGCAAGUCCCCAGUUCUGACCUCAGACAGGAAGACACCAGUUAAGAAGGUCUGACGCUGCCUGACGCUGGGCCCAGAUGAACGUUUCUCACGGAGAUCUUACCUGAAGGCCAGCUCUGCUGGCGGCAAGGGGAGUUUUUCUGAUGGCCUGAGCUGACUGGCCUGAGCUGACCAGCCUGGUCUCACAGACAGCUCACCACCACCCCUCGGGCUUGCCAAGCCAGGAACACACAUCCCCCAGGGCAGAGCUGCCCCAGGUCCCCCCUGUCUAUCAUUUGUACCCCAUCCUCUCAUGGCCCUUCUGCUGACAACUGGUCAACCUCUAGUUUCUUUCCUGUCUAGUCCUACCAGUUCAACCCAGGAUUUAGCUACUUUCCCAGCUCCCCAUCCUAGACGUGGCCCCUUGCACACAGCUGAGCCUUUUCCCUUUAUGGUGGUGGAAGUUUCUGCAAUCCGGUCAGUCGGUCACCAAAGUUCCUGUGCUUGCUUACGGCCUGGGCUGGCCCCCCUCCCAUUACCUUCUGCCCCUUCUCACCAGUCAUUCUCCAGUGAAAUCAGAGAAAAUAAACAGUUGCUGCCACCUAGAGAAGUGCACCUCAAAGCAGGUGCCCCGAUCAGGGCCAGUCCACUCGGUCCACCAAGAGAGCCAAAGUUUUGAUGGUGUCACCAGGAUGGCCAAGCACGGGAGCACUGGACUUGCUCCUUGUGGGGAGUACAGACUAGUGUGGCUGCCUCAAGGUGACUUACAUGUGGGCUGAGCUCCUACCAGUCAUAAACCGGAGAACCGCCUCUCAGCACCGGAUGGCUUGGAAAUCUCUAAAACGUCUUUCUCUGAGUUGGUUUGGAAGCACAAUAUGGAGCUUUGCAACCAGUCUCUUGUCCGAGUAUGACAGCACCAUCAGGGAUUGAGAUCUUACUACUUCCCGGGGACUGUCCAUGACACAUUGCGUGUGUUUUCUCAUGGAACCACACCCAUCCCAGGAGGUGAGUCCUACUCUCAUAAUCCCCGUUUCCUGACUAACACAACAGCAUCCCAGGGUAGUUCCGCGUCUUACUCUAGGUCUUGCAGGUGGCUCUGGUGAAUCAGGAAUUCACACCCAGAUCUGUUUGAACCUGAAACCCAUGCAUUUACUAUUGCCCUUCACAGAGUGUCAGGGCAAUGUCUGCUGAACUUCAGGAACUGGCAGGAAACCUCUGGCUGUUUCCUCUUUAUGAGGAAGAAGUAAGAAGUAGCCUCCUCCCCUGCCUUCCCUAUUUCAGCUCUUUACAGAGAGAGCUUGUUAUUCCUGAUUUAAAAACAAUUGUUCCCAUGGAAACACCCUGGCAGCUUCUCUUAGCAACCAUGGCCACCUUUCACCAAUUUAACAAAGUUGGUUCAAACACAAAAUUGCUUUUUUGAAAGUUUUCAGAGCAAAACCAAACUGACCAGUUGACCAGAGCUUAACUUCAUAUACACCUUAAGAAAAUCAUGGCAAAUUUUGUAGGCCAUGAGAAAGUGGUUUUUCUAGGAAAACGGAGCAGGUGUGCAGUUCUGGAUAGUGUUUUAAAUCUAAAACAUGAUAUGAAAACUCUCAAAUGGGACAUUUUCUUCUGGUUGACAAAAGGUUCACAAAUUGAGAGUAUUUAAGGUUUAUAGAUUGUAUUAGUUCCCUGUUGCGGCUGCAACAAAUUGUUGCCAAUUUUAUAUUUAGUUUUGUUUUGUUUAAAAAACCCCAAAUUUAACAGCUUACAGUUCUGUAGAUCACAUGUCUGACACGGAAGUCACCAGGGUCAGAACAAGGUGCUGGCAGGGUGCGUUGCCUGUAUAGAAGGUCUAAGAGAGAUCCCUUUUCUAGCCUUUUCAAGCUUCUAGAAGCUGCCUGCCUGUCCUGCCUCAUGGCCGCCUUCUCCUCCUUCAAAGGCAGCAACAUUGAUCUGAGUCCUCAGGCUGCUGUCUCUCUGGCAUCUCUUGCAAUCCCCUCUUCCCCCUUUAAGGACCGACCCUGUGAUUACAUCGGCCUCUCAGGUAAUCCAGGCUAAUCCCUCUAUUUCGGGGUCAUCUGAUUGACAACCUUCAUGCCAUCUGCACCCUUAAAUCCUGUUUGCCAUGUAACCUAACACAUUCACAGGUUCCAGAGAUUAGGGUGGGGCGUCUUGGGAGAGCUAGUUUUUUUCUCGGCCACGGUGGCUAUAGCAGCCUAUGCAGGUGUCCCUCACGAGUAAGAGAAUGGUGGGGUGUCUACUCCCCUCACUCCUCCUUGUGUCCAGAAGCCCAGCGUCUUCUCACCUCAACCACCAUGGAUCUCUUUGGCCUCUUCCUUUUGUGCAUUCUGGCUUUCGGCUAGAAUAAGAAAAAAAAAGUGUGGCCCAAAGUCUUUCCCCUAAUCUUUACCCCCAACAGCAAUGCUCAGUGCCGAGAAGAGGGUGGUGGAGAAACACUAGGCCACCUAAGCAGGUAUUCCAUGGUGAUGGGGGCUGGUGCUGGGGAGAUGAUGAGGUUGCCCAGGAGGGCGAGCUGGGCUGGAGCAGUUCCGACUCAGAGCUGCUGACAUUUGCAGACGACCGUGAUGGAUGCUGAAGAAAGGGCCACCUCUGUGAAGUGCAAACCUUCCCUGAAGCACGGCGGCAAUGACUCCAUAAAGACGUUUACGUAGCAGGACAGAAAACAAAUCCCCACGGUAGUCAAUAACAACGAACUGAAAGCCCUAAUUUCCCAGGGAGACAUCGUGGAGUCCUGCGCCCGGUUCUAUGGUGACGCGGAGAGGGAUGCGACGGGGGAGGGGAGAGAGAAACUCCCCAAAAGCUAGCUGACAAUUGCAGACAUGAUCUGAAAAGUCCAAAGAACCAUGAGCUGCUUUCUAAAGAGCCAGAGGACUCCCUGAGGCUUGGGGAGAGGGGAGUCAGGGGUCUGCAGACAGAGGUGAGGAAGAAAUAAGUGGUUGGUGGGGAAGAAGACUUGGCCAUUUAACUGCUGCGUGACUGGGGAAGGGACUUUACCCCUCCUGCCUCAGUUUCCCUGUGUGUGGAAAGGCAGUGACUGCAGAACUCUUGGGUUAAAGCUGUUAAAGCAGGACCCCGUGCACCGUGCUGGGAACGUGGUGGGCUUGCUCUGAGCUGGGUUUAUUGGGUUUUGUUUUCUUAUAGCAAGAACACUUGGCAUGAGGUCUAUGCUCUUAACAGAUUUAUAAGUGUCCAAUCCAGGACUGCUAUCCACAGGUGUCCACAGGCACAGUGUUGUACAGCAGAUCCCUAGAACUCAUGCAUCUUGCAUGGCUGAAUUGCAUGCACCUUGACCGGGGAGUUGCUGGUCAGUGUGCUGGUUCCUGUGCUGCAGCUGUGAUGGCGAGUAUGCUUAAGGCUUCGUAGACAGAUGGGGAUGAGGGCCAUAAGGGUUGGCUGAAGAGCGAGUAAAGGAAAGAAGCAGCCACAAAGGUGGGGCAGGAACAGGAAGAGCCCAGGCAGGUGGUCUGACUCCGCUCACUUUGGAGAUGAGAGUGUCUGUUCAACGAAGAGGUCAGGAUCAAAUUGCACAGUGGUCCCAAAGGCUGCCUGAAAUCUCCAAGGAAGUCCCCGCUGCAGGGCCGUCAAAAGAGAGACACCAGGCCAUGUGCGGCUUGCACAGAGGGAGAGCUUCCAGAAUGCAUGGUUUCCUAGAAAAAGUCAGAGACCUUAGCUUGGUGACACCCUGAGCCCAUGUCCUCACUCGUAAGGUAAGGAUGGCAGUCACCUUCCUCAAAGGGCAGGAAUGAGGAUUAAAUCAGGAAAGGUCUUUCGAGUGUUCAGCACAGUGUCUGAGGUAUAGGAAGUGCUCAAAGAAUACUAACUAUUCUCAUUCCAAAGGGUGUGUCAUUUCUAGCGGUUUUCAAAAUGUGUUUCUGUGGAUUUGAGUAGUAAAAGAUUUUCCCACCAAAGAAAUGUUGUAUAGGGGAGAAGAGGGCAGGCCUGGUUGAUAUGGGGGGGUCAAGGCCCAGAGCCCACCUUGCUCAGACUCCUCCCUCCCCUACGGCCUCUCCCCGGAGAAGCGCCUCCCUGUGCUCUUCAGACCUGGGCUGACCCAGCUGGUCCACUGGGAGGUCCACAGAGGCCAUGCUUUGGCCAGAGUCCGCCAUCUGGCCUCUCCAUCUGGAGCUGAGCUUGGUUUUUGACUGACCAGUUCACUGAACAGCCAGUUUGCUGAGUCGGUUUGAUAAAAGUCAGUGCACAGAAUGUCAUUCUACCAAAUGCCAAGUCAUCAAUGACUAAUUUCUGAGUUUCCCCAAUCAUCAAAAAUUUGCUCCAGUUUUAACUAGAGGUUCACAGCCAUUCGUACUGGAUCCAUGGGUGACGCUGCAGGUGCCUUCUUGUCCUCAGGAUAACCCUUAAGUCUCCCUCUCACUGCCCCCCAAUUCCACCUUCUCUACUGGGGCCCUUCCCCCCAGGUCCCUGCACCCCAAUACUCUGGGUUUCCCAUCCUUACCCUCUGCACCUUGGUUUACCCUGCCUUGCACUCCGCCCUCUGCUGCUGAGGAAGGGGUG